UCUGUGGCUCAGUCGGUAGAGCGACUGAUUCGUAAUCAGUAGAUCACGGGUUCGAGUCCCGUCAG
Molecule: transfer RNA, 65 nt
Filed under: uncultured Eubacterium sp.
Lineage: Bacteria; Bacillati; Bacillota; Clostridia; Eubacteriales; Eubacteriaceae
Rfam family: tRNA
About the family: Transfer RNA (tRNA) molecules are approximately 80 nucleotides in length.
Source: RNAcentral